Non-coding RNA from Schistosoma haematobium, 45 nucleotides. Lineage: Eukaryota; Metazoa; Platyhelminthes; Trematoda; Strigeidida; Schistosomatidae. The record is from Rfam.
AUCCAUUCGACGAGUUCCAAAUAGGAAGAAACACGCGUCCUGGAU